This is a long non-coding RNA of Cyclopterus lumpus (lumpfish), 1720 nucleotides long. RefSeq lists it as uncharacterized. The record is from RefSeq and is a predicted model, not a curated record. Lineage: Eukaryota; Metazoa; Chordata; Actinopteri; Perciformes; Cyclopteridae. The transcript has 5 exons.
UUGACAAGAUAUUUUCUAUUUAUUAUUAAAGCACCCAUUUGACACAUUUGACAUGUCUGCCACAACAGGUCCGUAAGCUUAAUGGGAUACACAUUGUAGUGGAGGUCCUGAAGAAAAAUAUGGCCCUGGACACCGUCCAGAACCGAGCAGCCUGGGCUUUGGGAAACUUGGCUAUGGAUCCAGUGAACUCUGCACUCAUCCACUCGGCUGCACAGCAACAUUCUGUACGGAGACUCUAAUGAGACAACUCAAUGCAACAGGAAGGAAGACUAAAGUGCUUCUGCAAACAAUGGGUCAAAGUAAACCAAUCUCGUCAGGUGGCCUUACUUGAAGGAGAUAAAGGUACAAGAAGUUGAUGCGGAAGUGGAACUCCUAAUUGGAGUAUAUGUCCCAAAGGCAAUGGAGCCCUGGCAAAUCAUAAAUAGCCAAGGCAAUGGUCCCUACGCUGUAAGAACCCUCUUAUGGGUAGUAAAUGGACCACUCAACUCAUCUUCAGCUGUGGAUACGUUUGGAGGGCUGCAAGAAGGAGGAAGCAGGAAAGGAGCAAGGUCUCUGUUCAUCGAGCUUUUCAAGUCUCAGUCGGCGUCCAGGAGAAUAGAGCUGCAGCUGGAGUUGGCCACUUUCCCUCCAAUCCUUCUACGAACACACACACACACACACACACACACACACACACACACACACACACACACACACACACACACACACACACUUUAAAUUCCCAGUGACUUCUGUGUUGGGAGUAUAAUCCAAUGGAAGAGAAUAAUCGAGCGGAGUACAGUUACAAGAAGUAUUUAAAUCUAAUCCUUUGCAUUUGAUUGGACCGUUACAAAGUGGGCGUACUUAGCACAGUACUGAGCAACAGGACUCCACUCACACCUCCCUUGUUGCUUAAAGUUGCAUAUUGUUUGAAGGAUGGAUGUCAUGAUAUUAGUGCUUGAAAUUGGUUGUUACUAGACUACAUAUGCACAGACAGAUUAUUUUGUAAAAAUGUUUGGGUUGUAUUGUUGAAUUGAGUAGGUGCACAAUAUAACUGUGGAUGUUAUAUUCAAUGUUUAAAAAUGCAUUUAGUCUUUUAAUUUCAACUUUAAAUCAAACGUAUCCCUUAUUUCAAAUAUAAGAUCAUGGAGGAGGAUGAUCUGCUACCUGGGAGCAUGGAAGAGAGGUCCGCCGUAGUCCCCGGCCAAGUGACCGUCCUCGGCCUGGAGGUGGCUGUAGAAGUGCAUUCCUUUCAGAGCCGUGUGGGCAGCUUCAGAGCCAGACACAAACACACUCUGUGGAGAGAAUGGGUGACUAGAAAUGAACACCAGAUACGUGUCAUAUACAAUUGAUGACCAUUAACAGAAACAGCUGAAUUUUCUAUUCUAUAUUUGUACAUUAGAAGUCUAAGAAGUACAUUAUUUCCUAAUAUGAUAAUGUAGGACAUUCUAUAUCUGAAAUCAUUCACACGCGUUGUUCUCACUGUAUACUACCAUGGUUUAUUGUGUCUGUUUUAUACUGUUGUUCAGUUGGUGCACAGAGUCCAAUGGAAUCAGAGCAAUGUAAAAUGUAGGAAAUAAGUAAUAAUCAUCAACCGAGUAAUUUAAAACAGCUUAGAAUGAAGACACAUUCCUACACAGUGUUGAACAAAUACAUCUUGGAGUAAGGGGUUUAUACUUCUACUCCUCUGACAAGCAGUGGAGUAAAGAGAAUACAAAUGAAAUACUCAAGUUUAAGAGCC